RNAcentral lists this small RNA (136 nucleotides) under Zetaproteobacteria bacterium CG1_02_55_237. RNAcentral's name for it is "RtT sRNA". It matches the Rfam family "RtT RNA". Rfam says of the family: This family represents a bacterial cis-regulatory element known as RtT RNA. The exact function of RtT is unknown although it is thought that it may be involved in changing the cellular response in relation to amino acid starvation. RNAcentral also lists the same sequence under 5 other names. The record is from RNAcentral. Lineage: Bacteria; Pseudomonadati; Pseudomonadota; Candidatius Mariprofundia.
GGCGAAACAUGGGAAGGCAGGAUGAGAACCUAUAGGUUCGACCCGAGCACAGCGUGCGAGGGAACGGCGAAGCAAUGCGACGCCGGCCCCGAAGGGGUGAGGCACGAAGUGCCGAAUAAUCCUGCUGCCCCAACCA